This 81-nucleotide transfer RNA is filed under the name Faecalicatena contorta. RNAcentral's name for it is "tRNA-Leu". It matches the Rfam family "tRNA". Rfam says of the family: Transfer RNA (tRNA) molecules are approximately 80 nucleotides in length. Their secondary structure includes four short double-helical elements and three loops (D, anti-codon, and T loops). Further hydrogen bonds mediate the characteristic L-shaped molecular structure. tRNAs have two regions of fundamental functional importance: the anti-codon, which is responsible for specific mRNA codon recognition, and the 3' end, to which the tRNAs corresponding amino acid is attached (by aminoacyl-tRNA synthetases). tRNAs cope with the degeneracy of the genetic code in two manners: having more than one tRNA (with a specific anti-codon) for a particular amino acid; and 'wobble' base-pairing, i.e. permitting non-standard base-pairing at the 3rd anti-codon position. Lineage: Bacteria; Bacillati; Bacillota; Clostridia; Lachnospirales; Lachnospiraceae. The record is from RNAcentral.
GGCCUCUUGGCGUAAUGGCAGACGCAUGGGACUUAAAAUCCCAGGUCAUAUGACGUGCGAGUUCAAGUCUCGCAGAGGCUA